CAUUUUCGCGAACAAGAGAAUUGCACACCGUAAUCGUUGAGGAGAAUUCGGUGCGGGGCAGUCCACAUAAGACGAGAGGUGCGGUGUUCGCUGGUGCAUGGUGUAUUGUGGUGCGAUAACGGCGACUCCGCGACGGACGGUCUGUCGAGAAAAUUCAAAUCGGAUGUGCGCUGGUGUCCCACUGUUUACUCACUCUGUCCACCGCAUACAGUGUUAGGCAGAUGAAAAAGAUCGUGCUAUGUAACAGGAAUAAUCGCGAAUAUACGAUAUGAUAUCGACUAACGACGAACGACGCCGUAUCGUAGCUAAGUCGCUCGGUUCUAUCGAGCGUAGUAGCUUCGUCCUCGGACAGUAAACAAAAGUGACAGCGUGUGUGGAUACCGUUCGGUCAUGCCUCCCGUCUCGUCGGUGACUGUCGACAGUAUUUGACGUGUUGUUCUUCUCGAGUCCCCGAAUUCCCUCACGUGGUUCAAGGUCUUCUAAAAUCAUCCUAACGCCACGCUGCCAACCAGACCCAGCGAGUUUCACGCCACUUUCGCGAUCGAAUGGAUCUCGAGCGUGUUGUUUCUCACUGACAGCAACAUUGACCGCGCUUUUCCCGGUUAUCGGUCGCGUUCUCGUGUCUUCUUCAAGGACUUUCGUUCCCGGAUUUUUCGACACGAAGGACAAGCAACAUCUUCACGAAGCUUCGGAAAGAAAAGAAAAGAAAAAAACAUACACCUAAAUCGGAUACAUCGUUUCCAUUACUGCAGAUUUCUUCCAGGAAAGCCAAAGUCUCCUCCCGUGUUUCGAGGGCGCUCGAAGAGGAGAGAGAUGUGCCAAGUUUCGUCGUUGCGGACGUUCCAUGUGCUUCUCGAGUUCAUCGACGCCGACCGCUUGCCGCACUGCGUCCUCUGCUAGGACCAUGUCCUAAUCCCGACGUUUUAUUCCGCGGAGCGUGAUACCAUUGCCAAACAGAACAGGAUAUAGGAUCUAUAUAUACGUAUACAGUCAGUGUGACGAAGUUAAAUGUGAUCCACGAGAUGCCGGGCCACCGCGUCAAGGACGUGCCUCGUCUUCUCGCGAGUCUUCCUGAUCGAGCAUACACGACCUCGUUCGUUGGUUGAGCAACGAACGAGAGAGAAAGAGAGACAAGACUGAUCCACCGUGUGAUGCAGCGUACAGAGGCGACGAACUUCCGUCCCGACACAAGCUGCUCGAUAUUCUCGCAAUAACGGCGAAAAAUGUUCGGCAAAGUUCCACCGUCGAACACACCAGGACCACCAGCGAGCCUCGGUGGCUCGUCCAAGUCCUGUAUCAGGCCCACUGGGACCGCCUGUUUGCCGUGUUUCUCCGUCGACGAGUCCUCAACUAUGCUCACCGAGGAGAAGUCCAAGCCUUGGAGACAAAAGGACACCUGCGUCUCUGUGGUGUCAGAGGCACCUUCUACGGGGAUAGACGAGAAGCAGAAACCAUGGAGAUCGAAGGAGAAUUGUAACUGUUCUUCUGUGAUCUCCGAACCACCUUGUAUCGCGGACGACAAGUCGAAGGCGAAGAGAGCGAAGGAAGGAUCGUGUAGUACGAACGAGUACACUACGGAGGAGAAGUCUAAAUCGUGGAGGAUGAAGGAGAACUGUAACGUGUGCGUGGUCUCCGAGCUGUCUUCCCUCGUCGAGGACAAAUCGAAAGUGAGGAGAAGCAAAGAUACCGCCGAGCAGGUAACGGAGGAUAAAUCGAAGAUUUGGAGAGUCUCGAAGGACUCGUGUACCAGUAGCGGUAGUAGUUGUACGCCUAAUUUUUCACAGUCAUCCGCCGCGUUCGUCUGUUCGAAGAACUGCUGCACGAAAUACGCGGCGAAGGAAGCGUGUUGCAGCCACGGAAGGGGUCACACGGGUCUAGGAUCAAAAACGAGCAACGUUUCAACCAGUUCAGCCACCCAUAAAUGCUCGUCGAACUCUAACUGUUCAAGCUUCGGGAAAUGUUCGAGCAGCAUGUCAGCUGGCGCGACGAAAUCUCAACGGGUACUUUGUUCCGCUAGUCUGAGCAGCUUGAACGUCGACCCCAGCUCGAGGGAGCCGUCGAAGCUCGCGAAAAAGCAUCCUGGAUUGAGUCGAGAGUUUCUCGCGGGUAAAGAGCAGCAUUUACCCGCAGGAGGAAGGUGCUCUGUGUCGCGUGAGACGCAUAGAAGCAUCGCGCAGGCGGGCAAAUCUUCCACGAGGUCUUCCGACGCAGUGUCGAACGGGAAGAGUCGACCCGUUUCAGAGUCGAGCGACGAGCUCGCAGACUCGAUGGAUUUUUCCACGAUUUCUGUCAUCCAGUCGACUGGUGAAUCCUGUCAGAAAUCGUCUACCAAGCCUUCCUCUUCUUCUUCUUCUUCUUCCUCUUCUUCUUCGUACAGUCAAGAGGACAAAGAUACCGUGGAUUCGGUGGUGGUUUCUGUACCAUCUUCGUCGAGUAGCUGCGAACGAAAUUGCAGAGGAGACUUCGCCACAUCCACACCGUCCAAGGACUGGAUGAAAAAUACUGGCGACGCGUUGCAGCAGAGUUGCAUUUCCUGUCUGCCGCAAGAUCUUCCAACAGAGCUACAGUUGUCUUCGCCUAGGAGUUAUAGAGAACGGGAAAAGUGCCGUGAUCCAUGGCGACCCACCGAAAUGGAAAGCAAUAUCUGCAACCUGAAUGUGUGUCCUGGUGAUACGUAUCAGGAUACCGGUACGAAAAGGAGGACAGGUGCUUCCUGCCAGGCGUUGAGGCAUGCUGUUGCGUCGUUGAACCGAUUGGAUGACUUUUACAUGGAGAAGAUCGGGGCCGGAUUUUUCUCGGAGGUCUUCAAGGUUACUCACAAAGUGACGAGUCAGGUGAUGGUCCUGAAGAUGAACCAGCUGCCCGCAAACAGGCCAAACAUGCUGAAGGAGGUUCAGCUGAUGAACAAGCUCAGCCAUCCGAACAUACUCAGGUUCAUGGGAGUGUGCGUGCACGAGGGUCAACUGCACGCCCUGACCGAGUACAUAAACGGCGGUAGCCUGGAGCAGCUGAUCCUGUCGAGGUCUACGCCGCUUCCUCAUUUGAUCAGGAUGAACCUGGCGAGGGACGUUGCCAGAGGGAUGACCUAUCUUCACAGCCGUGGACUCUUUCAUCGGGACUUGACGUCGAAGAACGUGUUGAUUAAAAAAGACGAGAACACGUCGGAGUUGACCGCUGUGGUCGGUGAUUUUGGCUUGGCAGCUAAGAUCCCCGAUCCGAGCUCAGGCUACAGACUGAGCACGGUGGGCAGUCCUUAUUGGAUGUCGCCGGAGUGUUUGAAGGGUCAGUGGUACGAUCACAGGUCGGACAUAUUCUCGUUCGGCAUCGUGGUCUGCGAGCUGAUCGGCCGCGUGCCCGCCGAUCCGGACGUUCUGCCACGGUCAGAUAACUUUGGCCUCGAUUACAUGGCCGUGGCAGAGAUCUGCGCGGCAGCUGAUCCACCGGCUUUUCUGCAGCUCGCCUUUCAUUGUUGCACGUACGAGCCAAAAUCGAGACCGACCUUCCCGGAGAUCACCUCCAGGCUAGAGACUAUGAUCAGCAACUACGAGGAGGAGACGAAGAACAACAUAGGCAAGCGUCAGUCUGUCGAUCCUGCUCUGAUGUCCAGCAUGGACGAGAUCACUCGGGAACCACGGUCUACGAAACGAAAGACUGCUCGUCUCCGGAGUCAAUCGGCGGACGCGAGAGGCUGCGACAACGCGACACCUUCCGACAAGGCGAGGUGUCAUUCCGCGAGGAGAGUGGCUGAGUUAGCUAGCAGAAGGGAUCCACACUACAGGCCAAUGACGGCGAAUCCUUUCCACGCGCUCGGCGGCGUGAAGAAAAUUCUCGGGGACCUGUUCUCCAGUUGUUUGGAGCUUCCGUCGCUGGAGGAUGUCAGGCCGAGUGUUACAGAUGCCAUCUCGAAGAUGAAGCCGGCGCAGAACGACAGCAUCGCGAAGAUCUUGGACAGGAAGAAGCCUAACUCGGAGCCGAGCAGUCCUACCGCCAGGAAAAAAUGGGAGAGAAAGGUUGCCACGAAGGUAGGCGCCGCCUGCUUGUUCACUCAUCCGCUUUUCCGGGACGGAUGGGAGCCAAGAAGGCGCGGCAGCUGCGAAUCUGGCUUUUGGAGCUGCGUCGGCGAGGAUCUCAGCCCGGAGCCGCCCAAUCGUCGACACACCUCUACUCUGAGCAGCUCCGCUGCGAGUAGCCUCUUCCUCUUGGACGAUCAUCGAACAAGCUCGAUCUACACCGACUCGUCCGAGGAUAUCGCGAGCUUAGGCGGCGGUGACUCCUGUUGGGAGGAUAGAUUAAGCGGCAUCGGGUCUUCCAGUAAAACUAUAUCCAAGAUCGUCGAGUACUUCGAGAGGAAGCAAGCCGGCAGCUUACGUCUCGCGGAUCACGAUGCCGGUUCUAGUAGAUUAACGUUGUUGAAGGCAAGCUUAGAGGGUCCUGUACCGUUGUGCAGCAUCUCAGCGGCGCAGAGGUUAGUCGUUUGCGAGGGUGCAGUGCGCAGCAAAUUGCCCCUGUUUGACAAAAAGUGAUACGCGUCACUUGCACGUCGUAGAAUUCGUUCCUUUAGGUCGUUUCUUGGUUUUCUGCCGAUAUUUCUGGGCCGCGCGACCACGAGACGCGCGGAGGCGCCUGCACGAAGAAGAAACGCUUCGACGUGAGUUGUUCCGCGACGAGAGCGAGAUGUGUGACAGAGGGAUGUUGAAGGGGAAGGGCAGCGAUUGGAAAAACUCCGUUCAGUCGAUAAGGAAAGUAGGGUCGAACGAUGAUGAAUAUGGUCGCGCGAGAAGGAAAAGCUUGGAUGGAAUGGAAGAACGAUUAUAUUUUUAUCGAACUUGGCGAAGAAGAGAGAGAGAGGGAGGAGCGGGGAUGAUAUUGUGUACGAGAGACGACGGGAGGCGACUUGCGGUACGGAGUUCGGUGAAAAUAUAGUCAAAUACGCCAGAGAGUACACACACGUCAAUAGUAUUUCGCGCGGAAAUAGAACGUUUCUUGCGUUGUAGUUUCGGGGAUACUUAAGGAUUUUUCAAGCGCCGAUUACACGAUUUAGAAGAAAACAAGAAAAUUCAUGAAAAAUAAUUUAAAAAAAAGAGAAGCAAAACUUAACGUUUCAACGGGAUUGAAAGAGAGGAACGACAGAAAAAGUUUCAGUUUCGAGACUGCGGCAAUCGAAUGCCAGUAGAAAACGCUGCUCAUGUUCUUACCUUUUGCAGUGCCUCGCAGUUCCUAGUUAGCCACCUCCGUCCUUUAUCCACGUCAACCGACUUUUUACCGAUCACUGUGACACCACGAUCAUGGAGAAAUCGAAAGGUGAAUUUUACCGGUUGUAUAUUCAGCUCUACGUUCGAAAACGAUUUUUUAAUGCGUUACUGUUCCCAAACAAUCGUCUCCUCUUUGCUUGGUUCGUGUUUCUACGCGUUACUUUUACGGCGCCGGAUAUCGGAGUUGACAUUGUUCACGAGACUCUUGCGAUAUAGAAACGAGAGGAUGUCGAGGUAGACACCCGAAAAUUACGACGAUGUACACACAACGGAAGG
RNAcentral lists this unclassified non-coding RNA (5528 nucleotides) under Habropoda laboriosa. RNAcentral describes it as "uncharacterized LOC108574701, transcript variant X1". The record is from RNAcentral. Lineage: Eukaryota; Metazoa; Arthropoda; Insecta; Hymenoptera; Apidae.